Molecule: ribosomal RNA, 607 nt
Filed under: Curvibasidium pallidicorallinum
Lineage: Eukaryota; Fungi; Basidiomycota; Microbotryomycetes
Description: eukaryotic LSU rRNA
Rfam family: Eukaryotic large subunit ribosomal RNA
Source: RNAcentral
UGCGGAGGAAAAGAAACUAACAAGGAUUCCCCUAGUAACGGCGAGUGAAGCGGGAAGAGCUCAAAUUUGUAAUCUGGCACUUUCAGUGUCCGAGUUGUAAUCUCGAGAAGUGUUUUCCGCGCCGGACCGCAUACAAGUCUGUUGGAAUACAGCGUCAUAGUGGUGAGAACCCCGUAACUGAUGCGGAUGCCCGGUGCUUUGUGAUACACUUUCGAAGAGUCGAGUUGUUUGGGAAUGCAGCUCAAAUUGGGUGGUAAAUUCCAUCUAAAGCUAAAUAUUGGCGAGAGACCGAUAGCGAACAAGUACCGUGAGGGAAAGAUGAAAAGCACUUUGGAAAGAGAGUUAACAGUACGUGAAAUUGUUGGAAGGGAAACGAUUGAAGUCAGACUUGUUAUCUGGAGUUCAGCCUUUCGGUGUACUCUCCAGUUUACAGGCCAGCAUCAGUUUUCGGGGCGGGAAAAUCGUAAUUAGAAGGUAGCAGCCUAGCUGUGUUAUAGCUUUUUACUGGAUUCCGCUUUGGGGACUGAGGAACGCAGUGUGCUUUUAGCAAUACCCUCGGGUAUUUCACACUUAGGAUGCUGGUGGAAUGGCUUUAAACGACCCGUCU